This 440-nucleotide ribosomal RNA is filed under the name uncultured bacterium. RNAcentral's name for it is "partial 16S ribosomal RNA". It matches the Rfam family "Bacterial small subunit ribosomal RNA", at positions 338 to 795 of the family's 1533-position model. The record is from RNAcentral.
CCUACGGGCGGCAGCAGUAGGGAAUAUUGCUCAAUGGGGGAAACCCUGAAGCAGCAACGCCGCGUGGGGGAUGAAGGUUUUCGGAUUGUAAACUCCUUUUGUUAGAGAAGAUAAUGACGGUAUCUAACGAAUAAGCACCGGCUAACUCCGUGCCAGCAGCCGUGGUAAUACGGAGGGUGCAAGCGUUACUCGGAAUCACUGGGCGUAAAGGGCGCGUAGGCGGGAUAGCAAGUCAGAUGUGAAAUCCUAUGGCUUAACCAUAGAACUGCAUUUGAAACUGUUAUUCUAGAGUAUGGGAGAGGUAGGUGGAAUGCUUGGUGUAGGGGUAAAAUCCGUAGAGAUCAAGAGGAAUACUCAUUGCGAAGGCGACCUGCUAGAACAUCACUGACGCUGAGGCGCGAAAGCGUGGGGAGCAAACAGGAUUAGAUACCCUUGUAGUC